ACAGAACAGGCAUCAUCAACAGUAAUCAACACUGUCCCCAACAAGAGUCACAAUAGGUAGGAGCAAUAACAUUGUCCCUAGUAAGAGACUUAACAGGUAUGAGCAACGAUACUGGCACUAGCAAAGGACAUAAUAGUCAGCAGCAAUAACAAUGACAAAUACUUCCAUUAUUGCAAAGACAACUUCUUUUCACUCCCCC
Molecule: long non-coding RNA, 199 nt
Filed under: Prunus persica (peach)
Lineage: Eukaryota; Viridiplantae; Streptophyta; Magnoliopsida; Rosales; Rosaceae
Description: long non-coding RNA (PPER_LNC001864)
Source: RNAcentral